GAUGAACGCUAGCGGGAGGCCUAAUACGUGCAAGUCGAACGAGGUGCUUUUGUAGCAAUACGAGAGUAUCCUAGUGGCGAACGGGUGAGUAACGCGUGGAUGACCUGCCCCAAAGUGUGGGAUAACAGUCCGAAAGGAUUGCUAAUACCUCAUGUGGUUAUCGGUUUUAGAAAGCGAUAACUAAAGCAGCAAUGCGCUUUGGGAGGGAUCUGCGUCCCAUCAGCUAGUUGGUGAGGUAACGGCUCACCAAGGCGACGACGGGUAGGGGACCUGAGAGGGUGGCCCCCACAAUGGAACUGAAACAACGGUCCAUACACCUACGGGUGGCAGCAGUAGGGAAUAUUGUCUCAAUAGGGCGGAAAGACCUGAAGACAGCAACGCCGCGUGUGCGAUGAAGGCC
This 400-nucleotide ribosomal RNA is filed under the name uncultured bacterium. RNAcentral describes it as "bacterial SSU rRNA". It matches the Rfam family "Bacterial small subunit ribosomal RNA", at positions 28 to 416 of the family's 1533-position model. The record is from RNAcentral.